GUUGCAACUGAGGGAGAUGAAGCAACUUGUGACAUUAUUUUCAGCAGGUUGAAAAGUUUGGAACUUGUGAAUCUACCACGACUUAAGAGCUUUUGUUCAGGCAACCACACAUUUGGAUUCCCAUGUUUAGAGGAAUUAAUAGUGAGUGGCUGCCCUGAACUGGAGAUAUUUUGUAAGGGAGUUUUAACUCAUCCACCAUUAUUGGCAAAAUGCGGAAAAGAUAAUAGUCAUUGGUGUAGUGACCUUAACAACACUAUCCAAGAAAUGUAUUCAAUAAAGAUUUUGUAGGCUGAAUUUUCCAAGUCAAUUGAAAUAUGGAAGAACAUUCAUGGAAGUUUAAAUUUCAAGAAACUUAAGGUUUUAGAAGUCAAUUGUGAAGGGUUGAGAAAAUGAUUUAGAGGAAAAAGGCCAAUCUUAUGAUCACUAGUGGCACUGACAUUAUUCUCUUGGGAUAGAAAGAAACAACUCAGAGAUUCUUUUUCCAACUCUUUCCAUUGAAAGGUGAUAUCCCAUUUUUGUUUUCUUGCAUCAUUGUUUUCUUUCAUUUUUUUUUUUUUUUUGUUUCUGAUUCCCUAUUCUUGUUGUACUACUUGUUUUUCUCUAGCAAACUAACCUUACUUGUAGGAACAGAGAAUCAUGGGUGUGGGAAACUGGAGAAAGAUAUGGCACAACCGGUCAACUAACUGCGCUAAUCAUAUUGAAGAGUUUUAGCUCAAGGAUACAGACUACAGAAAGGCCAAAUUGAAGGAAAAGUGGAGAUAUUGCUUUAGAAAGUUACUUUAUAAAGAGUUACGGCAGAUGCCCCUUUCAUUGCUGUCUACUAGAGUAUGUUGCUGCUGCUCAGUAGUAGCCAUAUUCACUGAUCUAAAGUUGUUAUUUCACUUCCUAGUUAUGUUACUCCAACUUUGAGUUUGAAAUUCAGGUAAGAGCAUAUGUCUAACAAGGAUAUGUUCCAUUUUUUCAAUGUCUUUGAGAGUCAUAUUCUCAUGCCUAAGUUCAGAAAUGCAUCCGAUAAUCUAGUCUACCAGAGUGUUGUACAUGAGCAAUUGCAUUUUGAUUUGUAACCUCAAUUGUCAGUGCUGAACUGAGCUACAUGUAUUCUUUAAAAGAUUGGAAAAAACCAAAGUUUCAUGA
Molecule: long non-coding RNA, 1134 nt
Organism: Gossypium raimondii (Peruvian cotton)
Lineage: Eukaryota; Viridiplantae; Streptophyta; Magnoliopsida; Malvales; Malvaceae
Exons: 4
Source: RefSeq, a predicted model, not a curated record